ACCCUUGUGGAGGAGGACGCCGAAGGUGGGGCUAAUGACUGGGGUGAAGUCGUAACAAGGUAGCCGUACCGGAAGGUGCGGCUGGAUCACCUCCUAACAGGGAGACAACAAAAUGUUUAAUAUUAUUAUUUUGUCACCUUAGGUCGAUCGGUAUCUCACGUUUUUAAUUCAUUAAGAAUUUCAUUUCCUAAGUUUUUCUAGGUCACACCCAUUAUUUUUCCUGGGCCAUUAGCUCAGGUGGUUAGAGCGCACCCCUGAUAAGGGUGAGGUCCCUGGUUCAAGUCCAGGAUGGCCCAUAUCUCUAUGUUGGGGGUAUAGCUCAGUUGGUAGAGCGCCUGCUUUGCAAGCAGGAUGUCAGCGGUUCGAGUCCGCUUACCUCCACUGAUUACCACCUCUUCCAUAAUCGGUAGAAAGGAAAUGUUUUGAGUUGUGAUCAAAUUCUGAACGAAUCUAGCUUCCUAAUUAAAUUAUUAAGAUGCUGGACUCAUUGAAUUAAUUUCAUUGUUUUCAGAGAACCUUGACAACUGCAUAGAUUAUUUUUAAAGACAAUAAGCAUCUUUAAUGAUGCAGAUUUAUUAUUUGUGCGAAUGCAUUAAUAACAAUUCUAUUAAGCUGAUGCUUCAAUUUUGAAGUUAUUGGUCAAGCUACAAAGGGCUCACGGAGGAUACCUAGGCAC
RNAcentral lists this unclassified non-coding RNA (676 nucleotides) under uncultured Prochlorococcus sp. RNAcentral describes it as "partial may contain 16S ribosomal RNA, 16S-23S ribosomal RNA intergenic spacer, and 23S ribosomal RNA". The stretch from base 1 to 97 matches the Rfam family "Bacterial small subunit ribosomal RNA", at positions 1437 to 1533 of the family's 1533-position model. Lineage: Bacteria; Bacillati; Cyanobacteriota; Cyanophyceae; Synechococcales; Prochlorococcaceae. The record is from RNAcentral.